RNAcentral lists this ribosomal RNA (253 nucleotides) under uncultured bacterium. RNAcentral's name for it is "partial 16S ribosomal RNA". It matches the Rfam family "Bacterial small subunit ribosomal RNA", at positions 524 to 776 of the family's 1533-position model. The record is from RNAcentral.
UACGGGGGGGGCAAGCGUUGUUCGGAAUUACUGGGCGUAAAGGGCUCGUAGGUGGCCAACUAAGUCAGACGUGAAAUCCCUCGGCUUAACCGGGGAACUGCGUCUGAUACUGGAUGGCUUGAGUUUGGGAGAGGGACGCGGAAUUCCAGGUGUAGCGGUGAAAUGCGUAGAUAUCUGGAGGAACACCGGUGGCGAAGGCGGCGUCCUGGACCAACACUGACACUGAGACGCGAAAGCGUGGGGAGCGAACAGG